GACGAACGCUGGCGGCGUGCUUAACACAUGCCAGUCGAACGGAAAGGCCCUGCUUUUGUGGGGUGCUCGAGUGGCGAACGGGUGAGUAACACGUGAGUAACCUGCCCUUGACUUUGGGAUAACUUCAGGAAACUGGGGCUAAUACCGGAUAGGAGCUCCUGCUGCAUGGUGGGGGUUGGAAAGUUUCGGCGGUUGGGGAUGGACUCGCGGCCUCUCAGCUUGUUGGUGGGGUAGUGGCUUACCAAGGCUUUGACGGGUAGCCGGCCUGAGAGGGUGACCGGCCACAUUGGGACUGAGAUACGGCCCAGACUCCUACGGGAGGCAGCAGUGGGGAAUAUUGCACAAUGGGCGGAAGCCUGAUGCAGCAACGCCGCGUGCGGGAUGACGGCCUUCGGGUUGUAAACCGCUUUCGCCUGUGACGAAGCGUGAGUGACGGUAAUGGGUAAAGAAGCACCGGCUAACUACGUG
Molecule: ribosomal RNA, 468 nt
Filed under: uncultured bacterium
Lineage: Bacteria
Description: partial 16S ribosomal RNA
Rfam family: Bacterial small subunit ribosomal RNA
Source: RNAcentral